GUCUCUUCGGAGACAUCCAAUAAAAUUGGAGUGAUAUAGAGAAGAUUAGCAUGGCCCUUGCCCAAGGAUGACACGCGCAAUUCAAGAAAUGGUCCAAAUUUUA
Molecule: small nuclear RNA, 103 nt
Filed under: Punica granatum (pomegranate)
Lineage: Eukaryota; Viridiplantae; Streptophyta; Magnoliopsida; Myrtales; Lythraceae
Source: RNAcentral